GUCGAGCGGUAACAGAUCCAGCUUGCUGGAUGCUGACGAGCGGCGGACGGGUGAGUAAUGCAUAGGAAUCUGCCCGAUAGUGGGGGAUAACCUGGGGAAACCCAGGCUAAUACCGCAUACGUCCUACGGGAGAAAGGGGGCUUCGGCUCCCGCUAUCGGAUGAGCCUAUGUCGGAUUAGCUAGUUGGUGAGGUAAAGGCUCACCAAGGCAACGAUCCGUAGCUGGUCUGAGAGGAUGAUCAGCCACAUCGGGACUGAGACACGGCCCGAACUCCUACGGGAGGCAGCAGUGGGGAAUAUUGGACAAUGGGGGCAACCCUGAUCCAGCCAUGCCGCGUGUGUGAAGAAGGCCCUCGGGUUGUAAAGCACUUUCAGCGAGGAAGAACGCCUAGCGGUUAAUACCCGCUAGGAAAGACAUCACUCGCAGAAGAAGCACCGGCUAACUCCGUGCCAGCAGCCGCGGUAAUACGGAGGGUGCAAGCGUUAAUCGGAAUUACUG
RNAcentral lists this ribosomal RNA (498 nucleotides) under Vreelandella aquamarina. Its description in RNAcentral is "bacterial SSU rRNA". It matches the Rfam family "Bacterial small subunit ribosomal RNA", at positions 61 to 556 of the family's 1533-position model. Lineage: Bacteria; Pseudomonadati; Pseudomonadota; Gammaproteobacteria; Oceanospirillales; Halomonadaceae. The record is from RNAcentral.